This 680-nucleotide ribosomal RNA is filed under the name uncultured bacterium. Its description in RNAcentral is "bacterial SSU rRNA". It matches the Rfam family "Bacterial small subunit ribosomal RNA", at positions 140 to 807 of the family's 1533-position model. The record is from RNAcentral.
GGGAUCACACUUGGAAACAGGUGCUAAUACCGCAUAACCAUAGUUGCCGCAUGGUAACUAUGUAAGAGGUGGCUAUGCUACCGCUUUUGGAUGGGCCCGCGGCGCAUUAGCUAGUUGGUGGGGUAAAGGCUUACCAAGGCAAUGAUGCGUAGCCGAACUGAGAGGUUGAUCGGCCACAUUGGGACUGAGACACGGCCCAAACUCCUACGGGAGGCAGCAGUAGGGAAUCUUCCACAAUGGGCGAAAGCCUGAUGGAGCAACGCCGCGUGGGUGAAGAAGGUCUUCGGAUCGUAAAACCCUGUUGUUAGAGAAGAAAGUGCGUGAGAGUAACUGUUCACGUUUCGACGGUAUCUAACCAGAAAGCCACGGCUAACUACGUGCCAGCAGCCGCGGUAAUACGUAGGUGGCAAGCGUUAUCCGGAUUUAUUGGGCGUAAAGGGAACGCAGGCGGUCUUUUAAGUCUGAUGUGAAAGCCUUCGGCUUAACCGGAGUAGUGCAUUGGAAACUGGGAGACUUGAGUGCAGAAGAGGAGAGUGGAACUCCAUGUGUAGCGGUGAAAUGCGUAGAUAUAUGGAAGAACACCAGUGGCGAAAGCGGCUCUCUGGUCUGUAACUGACGCUGAGGUUCGAAAGCGUGGGUAGCAAACAGGAUUAGAUACCCUGGUAGUCCACGCCGUAAAC